AUUGAACGCUGGCGGCAGGCCUAACACAUGCAAGUCGAACGAGUGGCGGACGUGUGAGUAAUGUCUGGGAAACUGCCCGAUGGAGGGGGAUAACUACUGGAACCGGUAGCUAAUACCGCAUACCAUCGGAUGUGCCAAUAUGGGAUUAGCUAGUAGGUGGGGUAACGGCUCACCUCGGCGACGCUCCCUAGCUGGUCUGAUAGGAUGACCAGCCACACGGGAACUGAGAAACUGUCAAGACUCCUACGGGAGGCAGCAGUGGUGAAUAUUGCACAAUGGGCGCAAGCCUGAGGCAGCCAUGCCGCGUGUAUGAAGAAGGCCUGCGGGUUGUAAAGUACUUUCAGCGAGGAGGCGGUACUCGCAGAAGAAGCACCGGCUAACUCCGUGCCAGCAGCCGCGGUAAUAC
RNAcentral lists this ribosomal RNA (406 nucleotides) under uncultured bacterium. Its description in RNAcentral is "partial 16S ribosomal RNA". It matches the Rfam family "Bacterial small subunit ribosomal RNA", at positions 30 to 526 of the family's 1533-position model. The record is from RNAcentral.